AGCAGCCGCGGUAAUUCCAGCUCCAAUAGCGUAUAUUAAAGUUGUUGCAGUUAAAAAGCUCGUAGUUGAAUUUCGGGAUCAGUACGCUGGUCGUGCCUUGUGUAUGUACUGGUGUUACUGGUUCCUACCUUCUGACGAACCGUCAUGUCAUUAAUUUGGUGUGGCGGGGAAUCAGGACUGUUACUUUGAAAAAUUAGAGUGUUUAAAGCAGGCUCGCGCUUGAAUACAUUAGCAUGGAAUAAUGAAAUAGGACGUUCGAUCCUAUUUUGUUGGUUUCUAGGAUUGACGUAAUGAUUAAUAGGGAUAGUUGGGGGCAUUAGUAUUCAAUUGUCAGAGGUGAAAUUCUUGGAUUUAUUGAAGACUAACUACUGCGAAAGCAUUUGCCAAGGAUGUUUUCAUUAAUCAAGAACGAAAGUUAGGGGAUCGAAGACGAUCAGAUACCGUCGUAGUCUUAACCAUAAACUAUGCCGACUAGGGAUCGGAUGAUGUUAUUUUAAUGACUCAUUCGCGCCUUAAC
Molecule: small RNA, 517 nt
Filed under: uncultured Glomus
Lineage: Eukaryota; Fungi; Glomeromycota; Glomeromycetes; Glomerales; Glomeraceae
Description: SSU rRNA
Rfam family: Eukaryotic small subunit ribosomal RNA
Source: RNAcentral